UACGUAGGGUCCGAGCGUUGUCCGGAAUUAUUGGGCGUAAAGGGCUCGUAGGCGGUUUGUCGCGUCGGGAGUGAAAACCAGGUGCUUAACACCUGGCCUGCUUUCGAUACGGGCAGACUAGAGGCAUUCAGGGGAGAACGGAAUUCCUGGUGUAGCGGUGAAAUGCGCAGAUAUCAGGAGGAACACCGGUGGCGAAGGCGGAUCUCUGGGCCGUAACUGACGCUGAGGAGCGAAAGCAUGGGGAGCGAACAGG
This 253-nucleotide ribosomal RNA is filed under the name uncultured bacterium. RNAcentral's name for it is "partial 16S ribosomal RNA". It matches the Rfam family "Bacterial small subunit ribosomal RNA", at positions 524 to 776 of the family's 1533-position model. The record is from RNAcentral.